CAGUCGCCACGGUAAUACGAAGGGUGCAAGCGUUAAUCGGAAUUACUGGGCGUAAAGCGUGCGUAGGCGGUGAGUUAAGUCUGCUGUGAAAUCCCCGGGCUCAACCUGGGAAUGGCAAUGGAUACUGGCAAGCUAGAGUGUGUCAGAGGAUGGUGGAGUUCCCGGUGUAGCGGUGAAAUGCGUAGAGAUCGGGAGGAACAUCAGUGGCGAAGGCGGCCAUCUGGGACAACACUGACGCUGAGGCACGAAAGCAUGGGGAGCAAACAGGAUUAGAUACCCCAGUAGUCCCUGUCUCUUAUAC
RNAcentral lists this ribosomal RNA (301 nucleotides) under uncultured bacterium. RNAcentral describes it as "partial 16S ribosomal RNA". It matches the Rfam family "Bacterial small subunit ribosomal RNA", at positions 509 to 807 of the family's 1533-position model. The record is from RNAcentral.